This 501-nucleotide ribosomal RNA is filed under the name uncultured Glomeromycotina. RNAcentral describes it as "partial small subunit ribosomal RNA". It matches the Rfam family "Eukaryotic small subunit ribosomal RNA", at positions 591 to 1092 of the family's 1831-position model. The record is from RNAcentral. Lineage: Eukaryota; Fungi; Glomeromycota.
CCAAUAGCGUAUAUUAAAGUUGUUGCAGUUAAAAAGCUCGUAGUUGAAUUUCGGGACCAAUAUUUCGGUCAUGCCGUUGGUAUGCACUGUUAUCAUUGAUUUCUCACCUUCUAAAGAACCGUAAUGCCAUUAAUUUGGUGUUACGGGGAAUUAGGACUGUUACCUUGAAAAAAUUAGAGUGUUUAAAGCAGGCUCACGCUUGAAUACAUUAGCAUGGAAUAAUGAAAUAGGACAUCCGAUUCUAUUUUGUUGGUUUCUAGGAUCGAUGUAAUGAUUAAUAGGGAUAGUUGGGGGCAUUAGUAUUCAAUUGUCAGAGGUGAAAUUCUUGGAUUUAUUGAAGACUAACUACUGCGAAAGCAUUUGCCAAGGAUGUUUUCAUUAAUCAAGAACGAAAGUUAGGGGAUCGAAGACGAUCAGAUACCGUCGUAGUCUUAACCAUAAACUAUGCCGACUAGGGAUCGGAUGAUGUUAAUUUUUUAAUGACUCAUUCGGCGCCUUACG